This 535-nucleotide ribosomal RNA is filed under the name uncultured Acidobacteriota bacterium. RNAcentral's name for it is "bacterial SSU rRNA". It matches the Rfam family "Bacterial small subunit ribosomal RNA", at positions 8 to 522 of the family's 1533-position model. The record is from RNAcentral. Lineage: Bacteria; Pseudomonadati; Acidobacteriota.
AGAGUUUGAUCAUGGCUCAGAAUCAACGCUGGCGGCGUGCCUAACACAUGCAAGUCGUACGCGAAAGGGGAGCAAUCCCUGAGUAGAGUGGCAAACGGGUGAGUAACACGUGGGUGACCUGCCUCAGAGUGGGGGAUAACGUCCCGAAAGGGACGCUAAUACCGCAUAACAUCCUGCCUUUGGAAAGGCGGAGAUCAAAGCCGGGGAUCGCAAGACCUGGCGCUUGGAGAGGGGCCCGCGUCUGAUUAGCUAGUUGGUAGGGUAAUGGCCUACCAAGGCAACGAUCAGUAUCCGGCCUGAGAGGGCGGACGGACACACUGGGACUGAGACACGGCCCAGACUCCUACGGGAGGCAGCAGUGGGGAAUUGUUCGCAAUGGGCGCAAGCCUGACGACGCAACGCCGCGUGGAGGAUGAAGAUCUUCGGGUCGUAAACUCCUGUCGAGCGGGAAGAACACUUUCCGGGCGAAUAUCCUGGAAGGCUGACGGUACCGCUAAAGGAAGCCCCGGCUAACUCCGUGCCAGCAGCCGCGGUA